RNAcentral lists this ribosomal RNA (477 nucleotides) under Candidatus Scalindua brodae. RNAcentral's name for it is "bacterial SSU rRNA". It matches the Rfam family "Bacterial small subunit ribosomal RNA", at positions 365 to 832 of the family's 1533-position model. The record is from RNAcentral. Lineage: Bacteria; Pseudomonadati; Planctomycetota; Candidatus Brocadiia; Candidatus Brocadiales; Candidatus Scalinduaceae.
UUCGCAAUGCCCGAAAGGGUGACGAAGCGACGCCGCGUGGGUGAGGAAGGCCUUCGGGUUGUAAAGCCCUGUCAGGAGUUAAGAAAUGUAAGUGCGCUAAUAUCGCAUUUAUUUGACGAAGGCUCCAAAGGAAGUCACGGCUAACUCUGUGCCAGCAGCCGCGGUAAUACAGAGGUGGCAAGCGUUGUUCGGAAUUAUUGGGCGUAAAGAGCACGUAGGUGGGUUUGUAAGUCAGAUGUGAAAGCCUUCUGUUCAACGGAUGAAUUGCAUCUGAAACUGCGAGUCUUGAGUGUAGGAGGGGAGAAUGGAACUUCUGGUGGAGCGGUGAAAUGCGUAGAUAUCAGAAGGAACGCCGGCGGCGAAAGCGAUUCUCUGGCCUAUUACUGACACUCAGUGUGCGAAAGCUAGGGGAGCAAACGGGAUUAGAUACCCCGGUAGUCCUAGCCGUAAACGAUGGGCACUAAGUAGAGGGGUUUU